Molecule: long non-coding RNA, 3074 nt
Organism: Oreochromis aureus
Lineage: Eukaryota; Metazoa; Chordata; Actinopteri; Cichliformes; Cichlidae
Exons: 6
Source: RefSeq, a predicted model, not a curated record
CCAACUGUAGUUCCAUAGUUUCCACCUUUUUUCAUUACAAACAGUUCCUUUAUCUCUCCAUGUCAGAGGUCAACUGAAACCAUGUCCAACUGAACCUCCAAAGGUUUUUCCAGGACAAUCACACCUCCUAGUGACUAACUGUACCUCUGUAGUUUCAACCUUUUUUCAUUACAAACUGCUCUUUUAUCUGUCAAUUACACUUUCUACUGACCAACCGAACCUCCGAGGGGUUUUCUUUACAUCCUACUCUUUUAUCUCUACUUCUCAGAGGUCAACUGAAACCAACCCCACCUAUAUAAAAACACCCUAAUCAGACUGUCACGGUUCUGGGUCAGUGUUGACCCAGCAUUUUGAGUUUCUUAUAUUUUGGUUUAUUUUUGCAUUAUGGAUUAUUUUCUGAUGUUCUGGUGCUUUGUUCAUUAUUAUUAUUAGCAAUAAAGCUGUGUAUUUUGAAGUUUCUUCCGCCUCCGUGAGUCCUGCAUUUUGGGUCCUCUCUUCCUGCCUGCCUACAAACAGACAUGACACAGACACCCUGUAUUUUUCCUCACUACUACACAUCAGCCCUUGCGAGCACAACGCUUCGUUCAGCAGGACGGACAGCAAAGCUAACAGUGUUCUUUUGUUGUUUAACAUGGAGUUCAUAUAUGCCUGAUUUUUAGGAGCUCAUCACAACGGGACAGCAUACAUUUCACAUACACAAGGAUCACAAGCCUAUAUAGGGCAAACUACACCUAAAAAACACAGGGGUCAAUAAGCUGUCCAGAAAUACCUACAGCAGCGGGAGCAAUAAGACCAAGCCUUACAUUAGACCUGAGACAGAGUACGCAGCGUGUCAAGAACCGGGGCCAUCCAGAAUAACACAGACCAAUGUCAAUCACACAACCCCUUCCCACGAUGCGGACCAUGACGACCCCUUGAUGCUUUUGGAAUAUAUACGCGAUAUUGAACUCCCAGAACAACAAGAAAACCCACACGCUUUGUGCAACAAUGGAGACUAAGAACCAUUCUUCAUCACCGGACCAUACAUACACGCGAGUGCCUGCCUUGUGAUUUCAGCGAUAUUCCUGAGUACAGCCUAUCAGAUUUCAAUAUAGUUGACAUACCCACUACGCCAGAAUGUCUCAGAAACAACAGUGAUACAGACAUAGGUUUUGAAGAAGGCUGCAUAACAGACUCGCAAAUAUCACAGACAUAUGACGCAUACUUAAAUGCAGCAAACACCUCUACUUUUGAUCAGAGCCAUUCUGCUUCAAACAACGAUAUACUAUCUUUGAUCGAUGCUAAACUCAGCCAACAUCAACAAGCAGUACAGAGGGAUGUGCAAGAAAUAGCAGCUAAAGUCAGCCAACAUCAAGAAGCAGCACAGGGGGACUUGCAAUUAAUAGCAGUGGCUCUAACUAGUACCCAGCAGGCAAUAAACAAUACCUGGGGUUUAUUAGAUCUCAUUAGUACCAGAUUGUUAAAUCGCUGACUUUUAAAGUCUACACCAUGGACCCACCCUGUAAAUUAUUCAAACACAAUGAUGGUACCUCCACUCGAGCUAAAUGGUUUCACUUUGAGGCUUUUAGCCAGUGGGCUGCGCAAAUAAUAAACAAAUGCGAAGUUUUGCAUGCAAGACUUAGUAGUGUCGCUGUAGCAGACAGUCCUGUGUCUAAUGCACGUCCUUGUCCAACUCAUUCUGAAGCUGUUGCCGAUGAUGCUGUUUAUAUCGAUGUUGUUGCUCAUGCAACCGAUUCACAUCCAGAUAUGCUGCUGCUGCCGCUGCUGUAGGGACUGUUGUUACUCAGGCUACCGCUGAUUGUCUUAUUGCUGAGGCUUCUGUCACAGCUGAUCGGGAGUGUGCACCUGGCGUACAUGCGUAUCUGGGUGCCGCUACAGCUGCUGCUGACGCAUCACCACACAACCCCUCAAACAAUGGAAAUUCCUUAAGUGUUAACCAUUCACAAACAGGUGCUGCAGUAUUCGAGCCCAUUGUUCAGUCUGGGGCAGGCAGUCACAGUCAGCGUAGCAUUAGAGAGAUACUUAAUUUCAACGCCCGAGAAUUGCGUGAGCGCCUUGAUUUUAGGGACAUAAGUCUUGAUGAUCCAGAACAAGUGUCAGAAAGAGUUAGAAGCUGCUUAGCCAAUGUGAUAGAGCUUUGGCUGGAUCUCAGCAGGGUCAUGUUCUAAAUGUGGUCCUGCGUGGACCCUCGUUGGCUUCAGAUGGUCAAGCUGUUUUAAAUCCUGAUGAUCAGUAUGACCCUGACCUGUUUCUCGACCAAAUAGCUCAAGUUAUGCAAAGUAAUGACGAAUUUAUAGGUGAUGGUGAAUUAGAGUUUAUUGUCACGGUUGUGCAAAACAGUAGCGGUGGCGGCGGUGCUAUAAUUCGCAGGGUUUGUGGAGUGUUCUGCUGGUGAGAGAUAGCAAACCACAGAUCGUUCUAUUGAGAGAUAUGGAGCCAGAGAGGCAGAGGAGAGGUUCUGUCGUGUGGGAGUAUUUUUGUUUGAUUUUGGUCAGUUUUGGUUGGGUUUGCCAGUUUUGUGUUCUUUUUUUUUUUCUUUCUUUUUUUUCUUUUUUGUGGGUUUAUUUUAUCUAAAAACUUGUCAAAUUGUCAAAAAUCUGCUUUUCAUAAUGUACAUAUCAUGAAAUAACUUUAGAAAGACUUCCAUUUGACUCUUUUACAUUUAAUGUAAUAAAAAAUAUAUACUUUAUUUUUAAAGUAAUCUUAAAUGUUAUUCUACAAAUGUGCAGCAAUUUAAUGUGUUUAUUCUUUUUAACUGAUAGUCUGUGGAACCCAGGACGACCAGAUACCUGCAUCUCUACCAGUUUCUGUGCACUCCAGCCUCUUCUGAGAGGGUUUUUUUUAAGGCAGGAGAAAUUACUCCAUGAAAACAAGCAGACUCGGCCAUCACACAGUGGAACAAAUUCUCUUCUUAAAUAAAAAUGAAGGGUUACCUUAAAUGCAUCAUGUUUUUAAUUUGCAAGUUAAUAAGCAUUUUCCCUUUCCAGUUCACAAUCAAUUCUGCCCCCAGGUCAAAAAUAUGUAUAAAAAUAUUGGCCUAAUAUAAUAUUAUUAAUAAACAUACCUGUUCAGCU